RNAcentral lists this ribosomal RNA (393 nucleotides) under uncultured bacterium. Its description in RNAcentral is "partial 16S ribosomal RNA". It matches the Rfam family "Bacterial small subunit ribosomal RNA", at positions 523 to 918 of the family's 1533-position model. The record is from RNAcentral.
AUACGGAGGAUGCGAGCGUUGUCCGGAAUUACUGGGUGUAAAGGGUGCGUAGGCGGGACUGCAAGUCAGAUGUGAAAUGCCGGGGCUCAACCCCGGAGCUGCAUUUGAAACUGUGGUUCUUGAGUGAGGUAGAGGUAAGCGGAAUUCCUAGUGUAGCGGUGAAAUGCGUAGAUAUUAGGAGGAACAUCGGUGGCGAAGGCGUCUUGCUGGGCCUGUACGGACGCUGAGGCACGAAAGCGUGGGGAGCAAACAGGAUUAAAUACCCUGGUAGUCCACGCCGUAAACGAUGGGCGCUCGUCGUCGGCGACAGACAGUCGGCGGCCAAGCGAAAGCGAUAAGCGCCCCACCUGGGGAGUACGGUCGCAAGGCUGAAACUCAAAUGAAUUGACGGGG